This 310-nucleotide long non-coding RNA is filed under the name Vigna radiata. Its description in RNAcentral is "long non-coding RNA (VRAD_LNC006472)". Lineage: Eukaryota; Viridiplantae; Streptophyta; Magnoliopsida; Fabales; Fabaceae. The record is from RNAcentral.
UAGCGCUUGCUGGGAAUCAAUCUUAAACUGGAGAUAAUUCAUUAUCUUGACCCAAUGGGGGUAGAUAUUAAUAUGAGGCAAGAUUUGAAGAAUUUGUUUGACAUGUAAGAGUAUUCGUGUUGUCUACUUUUAUUUGACACAUAUGUAUACUUUUAGUUGUAGUUGUAUUGUUUNUACUUAUUUCUUCAAGACCCUUAGUUGUAUUGUUUGACAUGUAAGAGUAUUCGUGUUGUUCUUGUUAUUGCUUUUACUUAAUUCAUGCUUUGAUUUUAUUUCUUCACUAGGGUUAUACAAACCUAUCGAGCUCAAA